Oncorhynchus tshawytscha (Chinook salmon) is the source of this 404-nucleotide long non-coding RNA. The record is from Ensembl. NCBI's taxonomy places the organism in Eukaryota, Metazoa, Chordata, Actinopteri, Salmoniformes, Salmonidae.
GGGCUGUGUCAGUAAUGACAAUAGCAGCAGACAGGAGUGCAGCAGAGAGGGGCUGUGUCAAGAGGAGGGGCUGUGUCAGUAAUGACAAUAGCAGCAGACAGAGGGGCUGUGAUGAGAGGGGCUGUGUCAGUAAUGACAAUAGCAGCAGACAGGAGUGGUGAUGAGAGGGGCUGUGUCAGUAAUGACAAUAGCAGCAGACAGAGGGGCUGUGAUGAGAGGGGCUGUGUCAGUAAUGACAAUAGCAGCAGACAGAGGGGCUGUGAUGAGAGGGGCUGUGUCAGUAAUGACAAUAGCAGCAGAGAGAGGGGCUGUGUCAGUAAUGACAAUAGCAGCAGACAGAGGGGCUGUGAUGAGAGGGGCUGUGUCAGUAAUGACAAUAGCAGCAGAGAGAGGAGGGGCUGUGU